Molecule: long non-coding RNA, 1615 nt
Organism: Tupaia belangeri chinensis (Chinese tree shrew)
Lineage: Eukaryota; Metazoa; Chordata; Mammalia; Scandentia; Tupaiidae
Exons: 4
Source: RefSeq, a predicted model, not a curated record
UGCAGGGAGACGGUCGUCCUGCCUCUCCAACUCCCAACCUGGAACACAGGCUCUGAGCUGAAAAGCAACCUGCUUCUCAGAUCCCCUUCAGAUCCUGCGGGCAUAAGGGUUAAACGAAGCUACAGACUCAUUCGCUGUUAUUGCUGCCGCUGCUGAGAAGCAGAGAUGGAUGAAGUCUCCUCUCUCCUCUCUGCCUCCCCAGCCUUCUUCGGUCUGGACGGGAGCAUAAUGAAUUUGGUGUCUCUGCACCCAUCCCCCGCCCCCGCCCCCGCCCUGCUCCCCUCAGGUGCAGCCCCAGAGUGCUUGCCCUCUGCUCAUGGUGGUCCAGCGGCUGAGGGGCAGUCCAGCAGAGGGGCGUGGAUGCUGUGCACCCUGAACUGGCAACAACGGUCAGGCUUCUCUGCUCAGAAGAAAUUGACGGAGAGCUUCCUCUCAAGGCUUGUGAAGACAAGGGCAGCAAAUGGGGCUUGCGAGGGGGUCACCAUGUGUUUAUUGUUGAAAAUCUUCCCAGACGCAAGAUGAUAAAUUCCAGCUGGGGACUGUCAGAUCUGCUCAGGAGCAUGGAGGAUUGUUUGCACCGAUGUUAAUUCCCCUGCAUUCUCCAGAGGCCAAAGAUGGUCAAAUCGCCCCUUGCCCUAACGUCCCCCAUAUCUUAGGAUCCUUAAAGUGCUGGGCUUUCUGAAGGUCACCUCUCCCACUCCCCUGUCUCCAAGCAAGCCCGCUCUCCAGUCAAUUCUCCUUAAGUGUCUUGGUUGUUUGGAAAGGGUUCUAGCCACGGAGGCUCCAGACCCACUACUGUCUCAUCCCACGGAGACGUCCGCGCUGGUGCACGUCUCAGUUCCUCUGGGCUUCCGACUGAUUUAUUAUUCCACGCUGUCUUCACAUGACAGAUGCCUUUUUAGCAGCACCAGCCAUUCUGCUGACAUCAUAGUCUAUUGUUAUGGCAAUUCUGUGAUGUCACGACAGACAGGAAGGGAGAGACUAAUCGAAUUUGUUGGGUUGAGGACAGAAUUUGGUCAGGAAACUAUGCACUUGGUGGACGGAAAAGCAAACAGACCACAUUAUUAUUUAACCCAUGAGGAGACCAGCUGGUCGGAGGUCACUGGCGUCAACAGCUGCUGCUAUUUAAACAGCUAAUCUUAAAUCCAAAAGUCCUACUGUGGUUAUGAAGGCUGGACCUCUCCUGAGGCCCACUGAGGUCCCUGCCCGUGCACUCUCCUGAGAAUCUGCUGACAGAGAAUAAGCCCUGGCCGGCUCCUCUUCUAAAGAUGCCUUGGCUUCGGGCACCGCAGCUCAUUAGGUGGAGAGAGGACUGUGAGUUCCAACAUCCUGACAUGCCUGACUUCGGAGAUGCCCCAGCCAUUUCUAACAGAAAAUGGACUUUCCUACCAGGCUCUCCCCGCCAAGACAUGGCUUUUCCUACCCGCUGCUGCCACGGAGACGAGGCCAGAGGCCAGGCCCUGGAAGCCCCUCUAGGUGCGUGGGUGGGAAGAAGGCCCUGAACAGCGCUACCUCUCCUGCUGCUACCUGCAGACCGAGCACCAGCUCUGCGGGUGUUGGGGAGUUCUGGUGUCUCCCACUCAGCCCCUGUGACUCUCUCCUCUGUCCUUGCGCC